CCUACGGGAGGCAGCAGUGAGGAAUAUUGGUCAAUGGGCGCGAGCCUGAACCAGCCAAGUAGCGUGAAGGAUGACUGCCCUACGGGUUGUAAACUUCUUUUAUAAAGGAAUAAAGUGAGGCACGUGUGCCUUUUUGUAUGUACUUUAUGAAUAAGGAUCGGCUAACUCCGUGCCAGCAGCCGCGGUAAUACGGAGGAGACGAGCGUUAUCCGGAUGUAUUGGGUUUAAAGGGUGCGUAGGCGGCCUUUUAAGUCAGCGGUGAAAGUCUGUGGCUCAACCAUAGAAUUGCCGUUGAAACUGGGGGGCUUGAGGAUGUUUGAGGCAGGCGGAAUGCGUGGUGUAGCGGUGAAAUGCUUAGAUAUCACGCAGAACCCCGAUUGCGAAGGCAGCCUGCCAAGCCAUGACUGACGCUGAUGCACGAAAGCGUGGGGAUCAAACAGGAUUAGAUACCCCAGUAGUC
This 460-nucleotide ribosomal RNA is filed under the name uncultured bacterium. RNAcentral's name for it is "partial 16S ribosomal RNA". It matches the Rfam family "Bacterial small subunit ribosomal RNA", at positions 338 to 795 of the family's 1533-position model. The record is from RNAcentral.